RNAcentral lists this transfer RNA (77 nucleotides) under Longimonas halophila. RNAcentral's name for it is "tRNA-Trp". It matches the Rfam family "tRNA". Rfam says of the family: Transfer RNA (tRNA) molecules are approximately 80 nucleotides in length. Their secondary structure includes four short double-helical elements and three loops (D, anti-codon, and T loops). Further hydrogen bonds mediate the characteristic L-shaped molecular structure. tRNAs have two regions of fundamental functional importance: the anti-codon, which is responsible for specific mRNA codon recognition, and the 3' end, to which the tRNAs corresponding amino acid is attached (by aminoacyl-tRNA synthetases). tRNAs cope with the degeneracy of the genetic code in two manners: having more than one tRNA (with a specific anti-codon) for a particular amino acid; and 'wobble' base-pairing, i.e. permitting non-standard base-pairing at the 3rd anti-codon position. The record is from RNAcentral. Lineage: Bacteria; Pseudomonadati; Rhodothermota; Rhodothermia; Rhodothermales; Salisaetaceae.
ACGGGCGUAGCUCAAUUUGGCAGAGCAGCGGUCUCCAAAACCGCCGGUUGCGGGUUCAAGUCCUGCCGCCCGUGCAA